GAAAAGAUAACCGCUGAAAGCAUCUAAGCGGGAAACUUGCCUCAAGAUGAGAUCUCACUGGGAACUUGAUUCCCCUGAAGGGCCGUCGAAGACUACGACGUUGAUAGGCUGGGUGUGUAAGCGUUGUGAGGCGUUGAGCUAACCAGUACUAAUUGCCCGUGAGGCUUGACCAUAUAACACCCAAACA
Molecule: ribosomal RNA, 187 nt
Filed under: Pseudomonas aeruginosa
Lineage: Bacteria; Pseudomonadati; Pseudomonadota; Gammaproteobacteria; Pseudomonadales; Pseudomonadaceae
Description: partial 23S ribosomal RNA
Rfam family: Bacterial large subunit ribosomal RNA
Source: RNAcentral